GGAGGUGAUGAUUUAAAUGAUUAUAUAAGGCGGUGCUGCUGAAAUGUAUAAAAAUCAAAGUGGCAAGAACCAAGUGUUCUUUGUUCCAGUUUGACUGACUUGAACGUAACAGCGUGUCUCAGCUACACUCUGCUCAUCUCGAGUCUUCGCUCCUCAUUUGCUUCAGAGCAUUUCACCUGCUGUUCCAGACGACUGACUUGUGCCUGAACCGCUGCAGGUCAACCAACCAACCAACCAACCAACCCCUCAUCAGUGAAACAAAAAUAAGAGGAUCAUGAAGAUUCAAUUUGCCUGUUUGCUGCUGGGCCUGCUUUCUGCUGUGGAGCUCUCUGUAAGCCAGGACUUCUAUAAAAGACAUGUCAUUAGAAAGAUGCAGCCAGGCCAGUGUAUUGAGAAGAUCAAUCAGAGAGGAAUCGGAGUUGUAGAUGGUAAAUGUAAAACAAUAAACACAUUUAUUUUGACCAAAAAAGCAGGAGUCAAUCGCAUCUGUGCAGGUCACACUGGACAACGACAAGGUGGAAACUUUCAAGUUGUUGAAUGCCGACAUGAUGGUAACAGUGUACCUCCUAAUUGUAUAUUUUGGGGUGAACUACAUAACAACAGAAUGAUUGAUAUACAGUGUGAUCAUGGAUUGCCAGUCCACUUUAAUACACCAAAUAAUGCGCAAAAUGGUUAAACUGUUCUGAAUUGUUGCUUAGUCCUUAGUUUGACGUUGACAGCCACCCUGGCUACAAUCUCAUGUUAUUGCUUGUCAUGAUUUAUUUUCUUUGCUUUAAAAAAUAAUGAAUAGUGAAAAUGCAAUAAAGCAUUUUGUCUGCACUCAGUUGUGUUACAUGGAUUUCCUGAACUCAACUUGCCUUCUUUCUACUGAAAUCAUAAAAUAAACUUAUUAACCAGC
Oreochromis aureus is the source of this 898-nucleotide long non-coding RNA. RefSeq lists it as uncharacterized. Lineage: Eukaryota; Metazoa; Chordata; Actinopteri; Cichliformes; Cichlidae. The transcript is spliced from 3 exons. The record is from RefSeq and is a predicted model, not a curated record.